CGAAUUCACUAGUGAUUUUGGAGGGCAAGUCUGGUGCCAGCAGCCGCGGUAAUUCCAGCUCCAAUAGCGUAUAUUAAAGUUGUUGCAGUUAAAAAGCUCGUAGUUGAAUUUCGGGGUCUAUCCAACGGUCGGGCUUUUACGGUUCGCACUGUUGCGAUGGAUUCCUACCUUCUGAAUAACCGGUUUGCCAUUAACUUGGUGGGUCGGGGAGGCAGGACUAUUACCUUGAAAAAAUUAGAGUGCUCAAAGCAGGCCAGCGCCUGGAUACAUUGGCAUGGAAUGAUAAAAUAGGACGGCAUGGUUCUAUUUUGUUGGUUUCUAGGAUCACCGUAAUGAUUAAUAGGGAUAGUUGGGGGCAUUAGUAUUCAAUUGUCAGAGGUGAAAUUCUUGGAUUUAUUGAAGACUAACUACUGCGAAAGCAUUUGCCAAGGAUGUUUUCAUUAAUCAAGAACGAAAGUUAGGGGAUCGAAGACGAUCAGAUACCGUCGUAGUCUUAACCAUAAACUAUGCCGACUAGGGAUCGGAUGAUGUUAAUUUAAAAGGGACUCAUUCGGCGCCUUACGGGAAACAAUCGAAUUCCCGCGGCC
This 587-nucleotide ribosomal RNA is filed under the name uncultured Glomeromycotina. RNAcentral's name for it is "SSU rRNA". It matches the Rfam family "Eukaryotic small subunit ribosomal RNA", at positions 526 to 1113 of the family's 1831-position model. The record is from RNAcentral. Lineage: Eukaryota; Fungi; Glomeromycota.